Molecule: ribosomal RNA, 324 nt
Filed under: Triticum aestivum (bread wheat)
Lineage: Eukaryota; Viridiplantae; Streptophyta; Magnoliopsida; Poales; Poaceae
Description: partial small subunit ribosomal RNA
Source: RNAcentral
AUGCAAGGCGGCGCCUUAGACAUGGCAGAGCAUAUGCAUAGCACAAUAAAUCACAGCAUAGCACUACAAAUCAAAGCACACAAAACCACAGUCACAAAUCAAAGCAGGGCACUAGGAAUUCCUAAAUCAAGGGAGCACAAGUGCACAAGCGGGCAGGGGAGGAGAGACAGAGAGUCACAUUCUGACUGGAGGUAUAGACGGCUGUUGAGCUGUUGGGACUGUGGAGGAGCCAGUCAUCAGCCGCCAGAGGAAGAGAGCAGAAAGAGCUCCUCUCUUAGGGAUGCCUUAAGAACAAUGCACUUGAGUACCUUCCUAAGACUUUAA